RNAcentral lists this ribosomal RNA (497 nucleotides) under uncultured bacterium. RNAcentral's name for it is "partial 16S ribosomal RNA". It matches the Rfam family "Bacterial small subunit ribosomal RNA", at positions 28 to 507 of the family's 1533-position model. The record is from RNAcentral.
GAUGAGCGCUGGCGGCGUGCCUAAUACAUGCAAGUCGAGCGAACGGACGAGAAGCUUGCUUUUCUGAUGUUAGCGGCGGACGGGUGAGUAACACGUGGAUAACCUACCUAUAAGACUGGGAUAACUUCGGGAAACCGGAGCUAAUACCGGAUAAUAUUUUGAACCGCAUUGUUCAAAGGUGAAAUACGGUCUUGCUGGCACUUAUAGAUGAAUCCGCGCUGCAUUAGCUAGUUGGUAAGGUAACGGCUUACCAAGGCAACGAUGCAUAGCCGACCUGAGAGGGUGAUCGGCCACACUGGAACUGAGCCACGGUCCAGACUCCUACGGGAGGCAGCAGUAGGGAAUCUUCCGCAAUGGGCGAAAGCCUGACGGAGCAACGCCGCGUGAGUGAUGAAGGUCUUCGGAUCGUAAAACUCUGUUAUUAGGGAAGAACAUAUGUGUAAGUAACUGUGCACAUCUUGACGGUACCUAAUCAGAAAGCCACGGCUAACUACGUG